GGAUAGGCUGACUGUGGAUUAUGACAGUGAGUUCGAACUAAUAUUCAGGUGCAGAAAUAUUAAAGGUUAAAGAUUCAAAGACACAACAAAGUAACGAACGGAGAAUAUUGCAACUUUUUAAAGCCCUGCUCGAAAGUCGGCGGGACAAUUUAUCGUUGGACUAAAAGAAAUUCGUCAAGUGCUAGGUUUUCAUCACUGAGAGUGAGAUGGAGGCCUAUCAAGUUUGAAGAGCAAG
Molecule: non-coding RNA, 235 nt
Organism: Styela clava
Lineage: Eukaryota; Metazoa; Chordata; Ascidiacea; Stolidobranchia; Styelidae
Source: RefSeq, a predicted model, not a curated record